RNAcentral lists this ribosomal RNA (494 nucleotides) under uncultured bacterium. Its description in RNAcentral is "partial 16S ribosomal RNA". It matches the Rfam family "Bacterial small subunit ribosomal RNA", at positions 29 to 523 of the family's 1533-position model. The record is from RNAcentral.
AUUGAACGCUGGCGGUAUGCCUUACACAUGCAAGUCGAACGGUAGAGGGGCAACCCUUGAGAGUGGCGAACGGGUGAGUAAUACAUCGGAACGUGCCCAGUCGUGGGGGAUAACGUAGCGAAAGCUACGCUAAUACCGCAUACGACCUGAGGGGGAAAGCGGGGGAUCGCAAGACCUCGCGCGAUCGGACCGGCCGAUGGCAGAUUAGGUAGUUGGUGGGGUAAAGGCCUACCAAGCCUGCGAACUGCAGCUGGUCUGAGAGGACGACCAGCCACACUGGGACUGAGACACGGCCCAGACUCCUACGGGAGGCAGCAGUGGGGAAUUUUGGACAAUGGGCGAAAGCCUGAUCCAGCCAUACCGCGUGCGGGAAGAAGGCCUUCGGGUUGUAAACCGCUUUUGUCAGGGAAGAAAUCUUCUGGGUUAAUACCUCGGGAGGAUGACGGUACCUGAAGAAUAAGCACCGGCUAACUACGUGCCAGCCGCCGCCGUAA